This 126-nucleotide non-coding RNA is filed under the name Anaerolineaceae bacterium. The record is from RNAcentral. Lineage: Bacteria; Bacillati; Chloroflexota; Anaerolineae; Anaerolineales; Anaerolineaceae.
GGGGGUGAACCAGUUUCGACGGGGUUCGCUGUCCGGCGAGUAGCGCGAAGGCGCACAGCACAUACGUGAAAACCGGACGACAACGGCGUAUCUCGGACGCGCGUGCAAUUCGCGCCACCUCCACUC